Molecule: long non-coding RNA, 5791 nt
Filed under: Olea europaea (common olive)
Lineage: Eukaryota; Viridiplantae; Streptophyta; Magnoliopsida; Lamiales; Oleaceae
Description: long non-coding RNA (OEUR_LNC000541)
Source: RNAcentral
UGUUAGGCAAUUUUGUUGUCAAACGACCUCCCCGGGCGAUGAUGUAACCUCGGUUGUUUAUUAUCAAUCGGCCUCGGCCUAAUGAUUGAUUAGUACAUCGACACAAUCAACGAGACAACACAAUCCACUUUGUUAUGGACCGUUCGAAGUAACCUAUUUUAUAGUGUUGCUCACGGUUCCCGCACCAUUCCUUGGAAGGCUAUUUUAUUAUUAUUGAGGCCCAAUUAUUUGAGUCGAGCCUAGUUUGUUGAUCCGACAAUUAACCCUAAUUGUAACAUACCUAUUUUGGACAAAAUGCUUGGCAUAUAAUCCCCUCAUUCUCUCGGCCUCCAUUAGAGUGAAAUAAUCCCCUCUUUGUGAGUUCUCUCUCUCGGCCUCUCCUUCCCCGUUUCACUGUGACCUUUGUGGUUAACAUAUUGUGGGUAUAUUCUUGGUCUUCUCGUUCCCAAUUGAUAGCAACCGGAUCGGUGGCGGCAUAGGGUGGUGUUGGAGUUGUCUCAAGUUUUGGUGUCGAUGUUUUUGGUAAACUGAGCCCGAUUUUGCACGUGUUGGCUGUGGAAUUCUGCCCUACAUCUGGUAUCAGAGCCAGUAGAAGCUUUCCUGGCCUGAAAAUUGACACAAACCUGCGGCAAUCGCGAUUUGGGUUUGAAGAACUGUGGCUGCAACCUUAUUUUCCGGCCAAUCCAGCCACUUUCGACGAAACCGAUCCCAUAUUCGGGAUCAGCAGGCUGAGGCGCUCCCUCGGNNNNNNNNNNNNNNNNNNNNNNNNNNNNNNNNNNNNNNNNNNNNNNNNNNNNNNNNNNNNNNNNNNNNNNNNNNNNNNNNNNNNNNNNNNNNNNNNNNNNNNNNNNNNNNNNNNNNNNNNNNNNNNNNNNNNNNNNNNNNNNNNNNNNNNNNNNNNNNNNNNNNNNNNNNNNNNNNNNNNNNNNNNNNNNNNNNNNNNNNNNNNNNNNNNNNNNNNNNNNNNNNNNNNNNNNNNNNNNNNNNNNNNNNGGGUUUAAAAUCAGUUUUGUAAUUCUUAGUGAUCAAAAUUACUGUGGGACUAGUUAUCUGCUAGACGUAUUUUUUGCUGCACUAUUAUUUCCGCUGCUUACUGAUUCCGUUAGAAAUACCGUGACUUUACCCUUUCGAACAUUCCCUUGAUCUAAGACCGUGAGUCUUACGAAACCCUGGGAAUCUAGAACGGUGUAUAUUAUCCGUGACCCGUAGGACUACUUUGUGUGGUUUGAUUGUGGUUUGUGCAUUUUUUGGCUAUUGUGUGAGGAUGACAACUCAUAGUUUUGAUUUGGGAAUUUUUAACGGAAAGGGUGACUUUGCUAUUUGGCAACAAAAAAUGAAGGGUAUUUUAGUCCAACAAAAGGUUUCAAAAGCCAUUGAAGGCAAUUUUUCAACUGAUUUUUCACAAGAACAAAGAGAAGAAGCCGAUGAGCUUGCUUAUACCUCAAUUAUCUUAUACUUGUCUGACGCUGUUUUAAGAAAGGUGGGUAAAUUAAAAAAUACCAAAAAACUUUAAAAGAAAUUAGAAGACUUGUAUUUGCUUAAGUCUACACCUAAUAAGCUUUACCUGCUUGAACGUUUUUUCAGUUUUAAAAUGGAUUCCUCAAAGGAUAUUGAUGACAAUCUAGACUUGUUUAACAAAUUGGUGCAAGACAUAGUUAAUUGCGAUGAGACUGUGUUCAAAACUUAUAAGGCUAUAAUUUUGCUAAAUGCAAUCCCUGAUUCCUAUAAGGAAGUUAAGAAUGCCAUUAAGUAUGGUAGAGACACGUUAACACCUGAAAUUGUCAUAGAUUCCCUUAGAAGUAAAGAAAUGGAAAUUAAGGCUGAAAAACAUGAUAAAAGGAAUGGUGAAGUACAUAUGAUGCGGGGUAGAACUCAAUUUAGGCAAAAUAGUCAUGAGGGAUAUCAAACUAGUGGCGAGGCAAGUGGUAAUGGAUGGAAAAAGAAGAGCAAAGGUAGGUUUAGAUCAAAAUCUAGAACUAAAGCGAGAAAAUGCUAUGGUUGUAAAAACACGGGGCAUUUUAUAAAGGAUUAUCAUAAGGAGAAGGGUAAGCUAAAAGUUAAGAAGAGAUAUGAUGUAAAUGUGUUAGCAUCUACUUCUGAUAUAAAUGGUGGUGAGGUCUAUAUGAUUACAAGUCCAGCUGCAUACACUGCUGAAUUAAAUCUAACUGCUAAUUCCAGUAUCCAUGAGUGGAUACUUGAUUCUGGUACAUCUUUUCAUGUGACGUCUGAAAAGAACUGGUUUUGUAAGUUGCAUGAAUAUAAAGUUGGGCAUGUUGUGCUGUGUGAUAACUUUGCCUAUACUAUCACUGGAAUUGGUGAUAUAAACGUAAAAUUUGACACGGGUUUUGUGUAUACGUUAAAGGAUGUUAGAUAUAUUCCUGAAUUGUCUAGGAAUUUGAUUUCAGUAGGGAGACUUGAGAAGGAUGACUUUACUGGUAAAAUUGGAAAUGGUAUGCUAAAAAUGAUCAAGGGUGCUUUAGUUUCCAUUAAGGGAAUUAAGAAAAACGAUAUAUACAUUACUAAUGGGGAAGUGAUUAGAGAUAUGAAUUCCUCUAUCUCCUCUAUCAAGAUUGAUCACACACACACAUGGCACAAUAAGCUUGCUCACGUAGGAGUCAAGGGACUUAAGCUACUUAAUGAAAAGGGUGUUUUUGGUAAUGACUGUGUGUCAGAUUUGCCAUUUUGUGAUCAUUGUGUGCUUGGCAAGCAUCACAAAACUUCUUUCUCCACGAGUGUUAAUAGAGCUAAAGGCAUGCUCGAAUAUGUGCACUCUGACCUUUGGGGCCCUGCCAGUAACCCCACAUCGGGUGGUAAUAGGUAUUUCCUGUCUAUUAUUGAUGACUACACUAGGAAAGUGUGGGUCUAUCUUUUGAAGGAUAAAUCUGAGACCUUCAAUAGUUUCAAUAAUUGGAAGAGACAAGUGGAGAACCAGACUGGCAAGAAAACCAAAUUUUUAAGGACUGAUAAUGGCCUAGAAUUCUGCAAUAAGAAUUUGAUAGUAUGUGUAAAGAAAGCGGCAUAACUAGACAUAAGACUGUUCCCUACACCCCUCAGCAAAAUGGGGUAGCAGAAAGGAUAAAUAGAACCAUGCUUGAUAAAGUACGUUGCAUGAUGAUCAGUUCGGGUGUUCCCAAGUCAUUUUGGGGUGAAGCUGUUAUGACAGCUUGCUAUUUGAUUAACCUUACACCCUCUGCUGCAUUGAAUGGUGAUACUCCACAUGAGAGAUGGUCGGGUAAACUGAGUGAUUACUCGAUACUUAGAACUUUUGGCUGUACAGCGUUUUCUCAUCAAAGUGAGGGAAAGUUGGAACCUAGAGCUAGGAAGUGUGUUUUUUAGGAUACCCCGAAGGUAUUAAGGGUCAUAGAUUAUGGGAUAGAAGCCAAAACGGAGUUAAAAUCAUCAUAAGUAGAGAUGUCACGUUUAACGAAAAAGAAAUGCCGUGUAUUAAAGGGAAAACUGAACCCGAGAGUGAGGUAGAAUCGGGUGAAGAGAGAGACCAAUUUAAGGUGGAGUUAGGAAAACUCAGUCCACCUGCCCCUACUGUCUCAAAUGAGGUGGAGACUCAAACUCAGGAACCCGAAGUGGAAAAUAGUAAUGAAAUAGUGACAGAAGAGCACUAUGAGGAAGAGAAUCCCUUAGCUAACUAUAACUUAGUUAGAGAUAGAGAGAGGAGACAGUCGAGGGAACCUAGAAGGUUUGGUUUUGAAUCUGAAUUAGCUUUUGCUCAGGCUAGUUAUGAAGAACUAACUGAUAAAGAGCUAAAGACUUUUGAAGAAGCAAUAGGCAGUGAUCAAUCUAAUGAAUGGCUUAAGGCAAUGAAAGAAGAGAUGAGUUCUCUGGAAAAGAAUCAUUCUUGGGAGCUAGUACCUAGGCCUAAGAAUAAAUCAAUUGUUGAUUGCAAAUGGGUUUUUAAGGUUAAGGAAGGAACUAGCAGUUUGGAACCCCUAAGGUUUAAAGCUAGGUUUGUGGCUAAAGGCUACACACAGAAGGAGGGCGUUGAUUAUAAUGAAAUUUUCUCACUAGUUGUUAAGUUCACCACUAUUAGGGUCAUGCUCGCAUUAGUUGCACAAUUUGACUGGGAACUUGAACAACUUGACUUAAAAACUGCUUUCUUACAUGGUGAGCUUGAUGAACAAAUUUUCAUGAAUCAACCUAAAGGCUUUAAGGAUAAGUCAAAACCUGAUUAUGUGUGUUUUCUGAGAAGGUUCUUGUAUGAGCUAAAACAAUCUCCUAGACAGUGGUACAAGAGGUUUGAUUCCUUUGUACUCACUAUAGGAUUUCAAAGAAGUAAAUUUGAUCACUGCCUGUACUUUCAACACAAUGAGACUGAUGAUAAUUAUCUGUUUUUGUUGCUCUAUGUGGACGACAUGCUUUUGAUUGGAUCAUCCUCUAAGUGGAUAAAUAACAUAAAAAUAAAACUCAGUGGUGAAUUUGACAUGAAAGACCUAGGUAAGGCUAAGAGAAUCUUAGGUAUUGAAAUCGAAAGAGAUAGGUCAAAUUUUGUUUUGUUUUUGCAUCAGUCUCCAUAUAUAUCCAAAGUAUUGAAGAAGUUCAAUAUGAGUGAAUGCAAACCUGUCAUGUUGCCCCUUGCUAAUCAUUUUGUUUUAUCUAAGGAACAAUCUCCUUGCAAUGAGCGUGAAGUUGAAUACAUGAGUAGAGUACCUUACUCAAAUGUGAUUGGUUCCAUAAUGUAUUUGAUGGUUUGCACUAGACCUGAUUUAGGUUUUGCUGUUAGUACUCUCAGUAGAUAUAUGGCUAAUCCGGGACCUGAACAUUGGGAAGCGCUAAAGUGGCUGUUAAAGUACUUGAAGGGUACUAGUAACGUAGGCUUAAAGUUUAGUGCUAAUAGAGAAGGCAUAAAAUUAAAAGGUUUUGUAGAUGCUAACUAUGCGGGUGAUAAGGAUGGUAGGAAAUCUACUUCAUCUUACGUGUUUACCUUAUCUAAUUCAUGUGUAAGUUGGAAAUCACAGUUACAACAUAUUGUUGCACUAUCCACUUCAGAAUCAGAAUAUAUUGCCACCACUGAAGCUAUUAAAGAAGCUCUAUAACUUAGAGGUCUACUUCAUGAACUAUGUGUUCUGAAUGAUUAUGUGGUAGUGUAUUCUGAUAGUCAGUCAUCCAUACAUUUAUGCAAAAAUCCUGUUUUUGACGAGUGCACUAAACACAUUGAUGUUAGACUCCACUUCAUUAGAGAUAUAGUAUCUCAAGAGGUGGUAAGACUUGAGAAAGUUCAUACACACUACAACCCAUCUGAUAUGGGGACGAACGUACUGCCACUGGCAAAGUUUAGGAGUUGCAAGAAACUUCUAAACAUUGGUACCUGUAAAUGAUUUUCAAUUUUAUUGUGUUUCUAUUAGAGGUGUCACUAAUGGGAGACAAUUUUCUUUGCAGGUCCUUUGACACCAAGGUGGAGGUUGUUAGGCAAUUUUGUUGUCAAACGACCUCCCCGAGCGAUGAUGUAACCUCGGUUGUUUAUUAUCAAUCGACCUCGGCCUAAUGAUUGAUUAGUACAUCGACACAAUUAACGAGACAACACAAUCCACUUUGUUAUGGACCGUUCGAAGUAACCUAUUUUAUAGUGUUGCUCACGGUUCCAGCACCAUUCCUUGGAAGGCUAUUUUAUUAUUAUUGAGGCCCAAUUAUUUGAGUCGAGCCUAGUUUGUUGAUCCAACACUUAACCCUAAUUGUAACCUACCUAUUUUGGACAAUAUGCUUGGCAUAUAAUCCCCUCAUUCUCUCGGCCUCCAUUAGAGUGAAAUAAUCCCCUCUUUGUGAGUUCUCUCUCUCGGCC